AUAAACCGGUUUCGGCCGCUCUAUUUGUGGCGAACGGGUGAGUAUCAGGUGGGCAAUCUGGCCUGCACUCUGGGAUGAGCCUGGGAAACUGGAUCUUAUACCGGAUACCACACUCCAAGGCAUCUUGGAGUGUGGUAAGUUCCGGCGCUGCCGGAUGAGCCUGCGGCCUAUUAGCUUGUUGGUGGGGUAAUGGCCUACCAAGGCGACGACGGGUAGCCGGCCUGAGAGGGUGACCAGCCACACUGGGACUGAAACACAGACCAGACUCCUACGGGAGGCAGCAGUGGGGAAUAUUGAACAAUGGGCGAAAGCCUGAUGCAGCUACGCCGCGUGAGGGAUGACGGCCUUCGGGUUGUAAACCUCUUUCAGUUGGGAAGAAGCGAAAGUGACGGUACCUGCGAAAUAAUUACCGUCUCACUACGUGCCGACCGCCCCGGUAAUACGUACGGUGCGACCGUUGUCCGGAAUUAUUGGGCGUAAAGAGCUCUUAGGCUGAUUGUCGCGUCGACUGUGAAAGCCCGGGGCUUAACCCUGUGUCUGCAGUCCAUACCUGCACGCUAGAACUCGACAGGGGACACUGCAAUUCCUGGUGUAGCGAUGAAAUGCGCAGAUCUCAGUGAGGAACUGCGGUGGCUAAAGAUGAUCUCUGGGACCAUAGUGACACUCAGGAACGAAAACGUGCGCAGCGAACAAGAUUCGAUACCCUGGUAGUCAACGCCGUAUACAGUGGGCGCUAGGCGUGGGCAACAUUCCUCCUUGUCGGAGACUGCAGCUCACUUUUUAAGUGCCCCUCCUGGCUUAGUACGGUCCGCUACUGCUACAUGUCGAGUGAAUUGAC
Molecule: ribosomal RNA, 838 nt
Filed under: uncultured bacterium
Lineage: Bacteria
Description: bacterial SSU rRNA
Rfam family: Bacterial small subunit ribosomal RNA
Source: RNAcentral